Molecule: long non-coding RNA, 807 nt
Organism: Stegostoma tigrinum
Lineage: Eukaryota; Metazoa; Chordata; Chondrichthyes; Orectolobiformes; Stegostomatidae
Exons: 3
Source: RefSeq, a predicted model, not a curated record
CCCAGGCCUUCUUGUCCUCUCAACCCUUUCACCGAAAUGCGACUGUGACUGAAAAAUCAGCAACACCAACCAUUAAUUCCCAGUCGGCAUCGUUGACCAGAACCAGGAUACCAGGCCUCCUAGAGAGAGAAAAAGACAAGGGAGCAAACAGCAGCAAGGGACUGACCAAGCGACAAUGUGGGUUCCUCGUUUGGUGAUAAGUCGAUGUUGAGACAAUGUGAACUGGGAGGUGGAAUAGAGAGAUCUGACCUGUAAGACCACUCGCAGUCUAGAGUCAUGGGGACCUGUCAUCACAUCACCUUUCAUGGGGAACAGCGAUGGACAGCAGUUUAAGGCAUGUCAUCUUAAAGGUUCUCACUUCCUGUUAAACAGUGAGCUGAGAGGCAGAGUGAUGUACUUGGAGGCUUCCCCGAAGUAAGAUGCACUCGGAGGGGCGAGGAAAUGUAUCGGUUUUCCUAUUUCUUUGGCUACAUUCUCCUUGAGGAAAAGUUCUUAAGGAGACUUUUGAAAUGAAUGAAGGAGGACACCAAACCUAUUGUCUCUGUCUCGUACGCACACAUACACACCAUGGACCACUGGAAAACCUUACGCUUAUAUUCCUGAACAACAAGCAGGACAAGAGAAACAAAUGCAAAAUCCCUCUCACAGGCCAAGACGAGAACAGCUGAGAUCACGGAUCAAAUCUACUCCCUUUUCCAAGUCUGUAUGGUUCUUCACAUUCAUCAACUGAACCACUGGGCUGAUCACAGAUCAACUUUAUACUGUUGUAAACAUUAAUUUUAGAAAUAUAAACGUUAUUUCAUAGCA